UCGGAACGUGCCUAGUAGUGGGGGAUAACUACUCGAAAGAGUAGCUAAUACCGCAUGAGAUCUAAGGAUGAAAGCAGGGGACCUUCGGGCCUUGCGCUACUAGAGCGGCUGAUGGCAGAUUAGGUAGUUGGUGGGAUAAAAGCUUACCAAGCCGACGAUCUGUAGCUGGUCUGAGAGGACGACCAGCCACACUGGGACUGAGACACGGCCCAGACUCCUACGGGAGGCAGCAGUGGGGAAUUUUGGACAAUGGGCGAAAGCCUGAUCCAGCAAUGCCGCGUGUAGGAUGAAGGCCCUCGGGUUGUAAACUACUUUUGUACGGAACGAAAAGCUCUCUUCUAAUAAAGGAGAGUGAUGACGGUACCGUAAGAAUAAGCACCGGCUAACUACGUGCCAGCAGCCGCGGUAAUACGUAGGGUGCGAGCGUUAAUCGGAAUUACUGGGCGUAAAGCGUGCGCAGGCGGUUAUGUAAGACAGAGGUGAAAUCCCCGGGCUCAACCUGGGAACGGCCUUUGUGACUGCAUAGCUAGAGUACGGUAGAGGGGGAUGGAAUUCCGCGUGUAGCAGUGAAAUGCGUAGAUAUGCGGAGGAACACCGAUGGCGAAGGCAAUCCCCUGGACCUGUACUGACGCUC
This 634-nucleotide ribosomal RNA is filed under the name Comamonas koreensis. Its description in RNAcentral is "bacterial SSU rRNA". It matches the Rfam family "Bacterial small subunit ribosomal RNA", at positions 118 to 748 of the family's 1533-position model. The record is from RNAcentral. Lineage: Bacteria; Pseudomonadati; Pseudomonadota; Betaproteobacteria; Burkholderiales; Comamonadaceae.